RNAcentral lists this ribosomal RNA (465 nucleotides) under Vreelandella stevensii. Its description in RNAcentral is "partial 16S ribosomal RNA". It matches the Rfam family "Bacterial small subunit ribosomal RNA", at positions 338 to 795 of the family's 1533-position model. The record is from RNAcentral. Lineage: Bacteria; Pseudomonadati; Pseudomonadota; Gammaproteobacteria; Oceanospirillales; Halomonadaceae.
CCUACGGGCGGCAGCAGUGGGGAAUAUUGGACAAUGGGGGGAACCCUGAUCCAGCCAUGCCGCGUGUGUGAAGAAGGCCCUCGGGUUGUAAAGCACUUUCAGUGAGGAAGAACGCCUGGUGGUUAAUACCCAUCAGGAAAGACAUCACUCACAGAAGAAGCACCGGCUAACUCCGUGCCAGCAGCCGCGGUAAUACGGAGGGUGCGAGCGUUAAUCGGAAUUACUGGGCGUAAAGCGCGCGUAGGUGGCUUGACAAGCCGGUUGUGAAAGCCCCGGGCUCAACCUGGGAACGGCAUCCGGAACUGUCAAGCUAGAGUGCAGGAGAGGAAGGUAGAAUUCCCGGUGUAGCGGUGAAAUGCGUAGAGAUCGGGAGGAAUACCAGUGGCGAAGGCGGCCUUCUGGACUGACACUGACACUGAGGUGCGAAAGCGUGGGUAGCAAACAGGAUUAGAUACCCGAGUAGUC